RNAcentral lists this ribosomal RNA (496 nucleotides) under uncultured bacterium. RNAcentral describes it as "partial 16S ribosomal RNA". It matches the Rfam family "Bacterial small subunit ribosomal RNA", at positions 29 to 507 of the family's 1533-position model. The record is from RNAcentral.
AUGAACGCUGGCGGCGUGCCUAAUACCUGCAAGUCGAGCGAACGGACGAGAAGCUUGCUUCUCUGAUGUUAGCGGCGGACGGGUGAGUAACACGUGGAUAACCUACCUAUAAGACUGGGAUAACUUCGGGAAACCGGAGCUAAUACCGGAUGAUAUUUUGAACCGCAUGGUUCAAAAGUGAAAGACGGUCUUGCUGUCACUUAUAGAUGGAUCCGCGCUGCAUUAGCUAGUUGGUAAGGUAACGGCUUACCAAGGCAACGAUGCAUAGCCGACCUGAGAGGGUGAUCGGCCACACUGGAACUGAGACACGGUCCAGACUCCUACGGGAGGCAGCAGUAGGGAAUCUUCCGCAAUGGGCGAAAGCCUGACGGAGCAACGCCGCGUGAGUGAUGAAGGUCUUCGGAUCGUAAAACUCUGUUAUUAGGGAAGAACAUAUGUGUAAGAAACUGUGCACAUCUUGACGGUACCUAAUCAGAAAGCCACGGCUAACUACGUG